This 87-nucleotide transfer RNA is filed under the name Methanobacteriota archaeon. RNAcentral describes it as "Euryarchaeota archaeon (anaerobic digester metagenome) tRNA-Leu". It matches the Rfam family "tRNA". Rfam says of the family: Transfer RNA (tRNA) molecules are approximately 80 nucleotides in length. Their secondary structure includes four short double-helical elements and three loops (D, anti-codon, and T loops). Further hydrogen bonds mediate the characteristic L-shaped molecular structure. tRNAs have two regions of fundamental functional importance: the anti-codon, which is responsible for specific mRNA codon recognition, and the 3' end, to which the tRNAs corresponding amino acid is attached (by aminoacyl-tRNA synthetases). tRNAs cope with the degeneracy of the genetic code in two manners: having more than one tRNA (with a specific anti-codon) for a particular amino acid; and 'wobble' base-pairing, i.e. permitting non-standard base-pairing at the 3rd anti-codon position. The record is from RNAcentral. Lineage: Archaea; Methanobacteriati; Methanobacteriota.
GCGGGGGUAGCCAAGCCUGGCCAACGGCGCUGGACUUAAGAUCCCGUCCUUAGUGGUUCGUGGGUUCAAAUCCCUCCCCCCGCACCA